AACGAACGCUGGCGGCAUGCCUAACACAUGCAAGUCGAACGAGACCUUCGGAUCUAGUGGCGCACGGGUGCGUAACGCGUGGGAACCUGCCUUUAGGUUCGGAAUAACUCAGAGAAAUUUGAGCUAAUACCGGAUAAUGUCUUCGGACCAAAGAUUUAUCGCCUUUAGAUGGGCCCGCGUAAGAUUAGCUAGUUGGUGGGGUAAAGGCCUACCAAGGCGACGAUCUUUAGCUGGUCUGAGAGGAUGAUCAGCCACACUGGGACUGAGACACGGCCCAGACUCCUACGGGAGGCAGCAGUGGGGAAUAUUGGACAAUGGGCGAAAGCCUGAUCCAGCAAUGCCGCGUGAGUGAUGAAGGCCUUAGGGGUUGUAAAAGCUCUUUUUACCCGGGAUGAUAAUGACAGUACCGGGAGAAUAAGCCCCGGCUAACUCCGUGCCAGCAGCCGCGGUAAU
This 453-nucleotide ribosomal RNA is filed under the name uncultured bacterium. RNAcentral's name for it is "bacterial SSU rRNA". It matches the Rfam family "Bacterial small subunit ribosomal RNA", at positions 29 to 524 of the family's 1533-position model. The record is from RNAcentral.